UUCCUGGUCGGUUGGUCGGUGUACAUGCAGGAACGCGUGUGUCGUGCGCUGUCCCGUUUAAAGCUCCUUUUAUUCCCCGUGGUUCUUCCUGCUCGCUUGCUCGCUUUGCGUCACCGUUUUUGCUUCCGUUCGCCUUCGCCGCCCGUUUGCUUCCGCCGGCCGCCGCCGCCCAUUCGCCUCCGCCGGAAGCCGGACCCCGGCGCCCCUUCGUCUCGCGGUGGCAGUUUUCGGCAGUUCCACGUCCCUCCCCUGCCGCUCACCACCGUCGUGGUAUGGCACAACUCCGGCGUGGCGCUGGGCGCGCUGCGUGUGGCUACAGAUUGUCCAGCGGCGAUGCUCUUACUGGACUUCAUGAUGGCAAGUGAUUGGUGGUUCCUGGGUUGGUUAAUAUUGUGAUUUUGCGGAUAUGGGAUGAGUUAUCUUGUAAGAUGAAGGGUAAUCUUUGAUGGCAUAGGGGGAUCUGCGUGAUGUUGCCCUUGGCUAUGACACCAUUUCUCGGUAUGUUGUAAGAGUGAACUGGUUUGCUCUACUUGGAGUUCUCCUGUGCUCAAGAUUUGAGAAAGCAAAACCAAAGGCGCAGAUUGCAUAAGUUAAUUACAGAAGGGUCAGGAUCUAGCUGCCAAUUCAUAGGGGGAAAUGUAUUUAAAUUUCCCUAAUGGAUAUUUAAUAUUUCUGUUGGAAAUUAGGUAUUAUCUUAGCAUUGUUACUGAAGCUAUCUCGGUGCUAGAGAGUCAGUUGGCAUGGUCAUCCGCCCUCUCCCUUUGUUUCAUCUAACAAAAACUUGGAGACGUGAGCUUUGAGAGGAUUACGAAGGAACCCAACUUCAUGUAAUAAUUUACUUUCCCUCUGAAGGUUAAUCGUUAGCUUGGUUCUUCUACUGUGUAUGAUUUAGUUUUUCAAACCAAUGCAGAGAAAUAUUUUAAGUA
Molecule: RNA transcript, 926 nt
Organism: Brachypodium distachyon (stiff brome)
Lineage: Eukaryota; Viridiplantae; Streptophyta; Magnoliopsida; Poales; Poaceae
Exons: 5
Source: RefSeq, a predicted model, not a curated record